UGAGGAAUAUUGGUCAAUGGACGCAAGUCUGAACCAGCCAUGCCGCGUGCAGGAUGAAGGCCUUCUGGGUUGUAAACUGCUUUUAUCAGGGAAGAAACCACAGAUUUCUAUUUGUGCCGACGGUACCUGAGGAAUAAGCACCGGCUAACUCCGUGCCAGCAGCCGCGGUAAUACGGAGGGUGCAAGCGUUAUCCGGAUUCACUGGGUUUAAAGGGUGUGUAGGCGGGCUUGUAAGUCCGAGGUGAAAUCUCCGAGCUCAACUUGGAAACUGCCUUGGAUACUAUAGGUCUUGAAUAUCGUUGAGGUAGGCGGAAUAUGUCAUGUAGCGGUGAAAUGCUUAGAUAUGACAUAGAACACCGAUUGCGAAGGCAGCUUGCUAAACGAUUAUUGACGCUGAGGCACGAAAGCGUGGGGAUCAAACA
Molecule: ribosomal RNA, 422 nt
Filed under: uncultured Chitinophagaceae bacterium
Lineage: Bacteria; Pseudomonadati; Bacteroidota; Chitinophagia; Chitinophagales; Chitinophagaceae
Description: partial 16S ribosomal RNA
Rfam family: Bacterial small subunit ribosomal RNA
Source: RNAcentral